Vulpes vulpes (red fox) is the source of this 106-nucleotide small nuclear RNA. NCBI's taxonomy places the organism in Eukaryota, Metazoa, Chordata, Mammalia, Carnivora, Canidae. The record is from Ensembl.
AAAGUUCAGUAAUUUUGUUUAGCAUAUGUGUUGGUACAGCGAAGGUUAGCAUGGCCCCUGUGCAAGGAUGACAGGCAGGCAGAUUUGUGAAGUGGUCCCUAUUUUU